AUGAGUGGCGAACGGGUGAGUAAUACGUGAGUGACCUUCCUUGGACUCUGGGAUAAGCCCGGGAAACUGGGUCUAAUACCGGAUACGACCAGUCCUCGCAUGGGGUGCUGGUGGAAAGGGUUUGUACUGGUUCUUGAUGGGCUCACGUCCUAUCAGCUUGUUGGUGAGGUAAUGGCUUACCAAGGCGACGACGGGUAGCCGGCCUGAGAGGGUGACCGGCCACACUGGGACUGAGACACGGCCCAGACUCCUACGGGAGGCAGCAGUGGGGAAUAUUGCACAAUGGGCGCAAGCCUGAUGCAGCGACGCCGCGUGGGGGAUGACGGCCUUCGGGUUGUAAACCUCUUUCAGCAGGGAAGAAGCGAAAGUGACGGUACCUGCAGAAGAAGCGCCGGCUAACUACGUGCCAGCAGCCGCGGUAAUACGUAGGGCGCAAGCGUUGUCCGGAAUUAUUGGGCGUAAAGAGCUCGUAGGCGGUUUGUCGCGUCUGCUGUGAAAGCCCGGGGCUCAACCCCGGGUGUGCAGUGGGUACGGGCAGGCUGGAGUGCAGUAGGGGAGACUGGAAUUCCUGGUGUAGCGGUGAAAUGCGCAGAUAUCAGGAGGAACACCGAUGGCGAAGGCAGGUCUCUGGGCUGUUACUGACGCUGAGGAGCGAAAGCAUGGGGAGCGAACAGGAUUAGAUACCCUGGUAGUCCAUGCCGUAAACGUUGGGCACUAGGUGUGGGGGACAUUCCACGUUUUCCGCGCCGUAGCUAACGCAUUAAGUGCCCCGCCUGGG
Molecule: ribosomal RNA, 778 nt
Filed under: Kocuria sp. B-231-6-1
Lineage: Bacteria; Bacillati; Actinomycetota; Actinomycetes; Micrococcales; Micrococcaceae
Description: bacterial SSU rRNA
Rfam family: Bacterial small subunit ribosomal RNA
Source: RNAcentral